This 253-nucleotide ribosomal RNA is filed under the name uncultured bacterium. RNAcentral's name for it is "partial 16S ribosomal RNA". It matches the Rfam family "Bacterial small subunit ribosomal RNA", at positions 524 to 776 of the family's 1533-position model. The record is from RNAcentral.
UACGUAGGCAGCAAGCGUUGUUCGGAGUUACUGGGCGUAAAGGGUGUGUAGGCGGUUGUUUAAGUUUGGUGUGAAAUCUCCCGGCUUAACUGGGAGGGUGCGCCGAAUACUGAGUGACUAGAGUGCGGGAGAGGAGAGUGGAAUUCCUGGUGUAGCGGUGAAAUGCGUAGAUAUCAGGAGGAACACCGGUGGUGUAGACGGCUCUCUGGACCGUAACUGACGCUGAGACGCGAAAGCGUGGGGAGCGAACAGG